This is a small nuclear RNA of Nomascus leucogenys (northern white-cheeked gibbon), 105 nucleotides long. The record is from Ensembl. NCBI's taxonomy places the organism in Eukaryota, Metazoa, Chordata, Mammalia, Primates, Hylobatidae.
GUGCUCACUUUGGCAGCACAUACACUAAAAUGGGAACCAUAUAGAGAAGAUUAGCAUGGCCUCUGUACUAAGAAAAAAAGAAUGUAAAAAGAAUAUUAGAUAUUC